CAGGGACCAGUGUGACAGGUAAACUGGCAACAUCUCCAUCUUCCCAAACAGGAAAAGGGAGCAGCAGCAAAUAAAAGCCACCUCGGUGCAUCUCCAGCCCUGCAGAUGGACGGCCAUGCCUGUUGCAGAGGACAGCCAGCAGGCUUUUUAAGAUCUUCAUAGAAGUAAACAAUACCCGGCCAUUAGUACCACCCCAGGAGAUAAAGCUAGUUCUCCUGUGGGAAGGUGGACACAGACAAGAAGGUGG
This 247-nucleotide long non-coding RNA is filed under the name Chloebia gouldiae (Gouldian finch). RNAcentral's name for it is "Erythrura gouldiae (Gouldian finch) lncRNA (ENSEGOG00005003153.1)". Lineage: Eukaryota; Metazoa; Chordata; Aves; Passeriformes; Passeridae. The record is from RNAcentral.